This 65-nucleotide transfer RNA is filed under the name Botrylloides violaceus. RNAcentral's name for it is "transfer RNA-Trp". Lineage: Eukaryota; Metazoa; Chordata; Ascidiacea; Stolidobranchia; Styelidae. The record is from RNAcentral.
AGAGAUUUAGGUUAUGAAAUAAACCGAUCGUCUUCAAAAUGAUAGAAGCGUUUUCGCAGUCUCAG